AGUGAACGCUGGCGGUAGGCCUAACACAUGCAAGUCGAACGGCAGCACAGUAAGAGCUUGCUCUUACGGGUGGCGAGUGGCGGACGGGUGAGGAAUACAUCGGAAUCUACUUUUUCGUGGGGGAUAACGUAGGGAAACUUACGCUAAUACCGCAUACGACCUACGGGUGAAAGCAGGGGAUCUUCGGACCUUGCGCGAUUGAAUGAGCCGAUGUCGGAUUAGCUAGUUGGCGGGGUAAAGGCCCACCAAGGCGACGAUCCGUAGCUGGUCUGAGAGGAUGAUCAGCCACGCUGGAACUGAGACACGGUCCAGACUCCUACGGGAGGCAGCAGUGGGGAAUAUUGGACAAUGGGCGCAAGCCUGAUCCAGCCAUACCGCGUGGGUGAAGAAGGCCUUCGGGUUGUAAAGCCCUUUUGUUGGGAAAGAAAGGCAGCAGGUUAAUACCCCGCUGUUCUGACGGUACCCAAAGAAUAAGCACCGGCUAACUUCGUG
This 492-nucleotide ribosomal RNA is filed under the name uncultured bacterium. RNAcentral's name for it is "partial 16S ribosomal RNA". It matches the Rfam family "Bacterial small subunit ribosomal RNA", at positions 29 to 507 of the family's 1533-position model. The record is from RNAcentral.